This 4326-nucleotide long non-coding RNA is filed under the name Homo sapiens (human). RNAcentral describes it as "HSALNT0332538". The record is from RNAcentral. Lineage: Eukaryota; Metazoa; Chordata; Mammalia; Primates; Hominidae.
GGAGCCGGCUCCGGCCUCAGCUGGCCCAGAGAGGGGCUCCCUCAGUGCAGUGGCGAGCUGAAGGGCUCCUCAAGGGCGGCUGGAGUGGACGCUGAGGCCGAGGAGACGCCAAGAGCAAACGAGGGCUGCUAGUACAUUGUCACCUCUCACUGGUAACUACAGUUGCUGUCAGUUUAACUGAUGCAAGAGAAGAUAAGGAAGACAAGAUCUCAACCACUUUCAGCAAAGCUUUGCGGAGAAUGCAACAUCCUUCAAGACACCAUGAAGCUCCACGCAUCUGGUCAUCUUGUUUCUUCAGGGAAUAAAUUUAUUGUUCUCUGCUUCAGAACUCUUCACCACCUUUGACUUGGCCUAGUGGUUAAUGAGCUGAGUUCUGAGCAGCUUUUGGGAUUUCCAGGGAGAUUCCUCAAGGACUUCUCCUCAUUUUAGCAAGGGCAGGCACACUUGGCCAGUAAAGAAAAUCCCCCCAGCAGAGAAUUGCAGAUACUCACAGCAAGAAGCCUUUCUUGUGAAUGGAGGAUGGAUGUGGAGCUGGUCCGAGCAGUCUGCCUACUGCAUCUGCUAUGACACCCAGCAAACUGGAAGGGAAAAGCAGUUACAAAGUUUCCAACCAGCACAAAUUCCAUAGUCAGGUUUUCCACAUGUGGGGAAAUGACAGGGGUCAGCACAUCCAACGUGCAAUGGACAAGCCUUGCACUGGGUAAACCACGUUCAUGGUCAUGGAAUCUCAUUUACCAGGCUCCACUGAAAUGAAUGAAACCUGAAAUGGUAGAGAAAACUGCAUAGAAGAGGUGAGAUUUGAUCUGGGGCCUGAUGGAAGAGGCAAGAUUGGAGAGGAUAAAGGGUUGAGUGGAUAACAUAAGUCACAGCACAGAAAUGAGAAUAUGCUCAGUUUUGCAGAGAAGCAAUGCCUAACUAGAGUACAAGUGCAUAUUGAAGCCAUGGGAAAUUAUACUGGGUGAAGAUGGUGGAUAAAGAGAUGUCAGAGGAGUGUAAACAUGAAGCAGCAGAACAUAGGGAAUGGCUGAGCACAGGGAAUAAAAGAAUUAAAAUUGGGUUUGGAGAGAUUAGUUGGUCAAGGUUAUGCAAGACACACUGGAAGGGUGGAGACUGGCAUCAAGCCAGUUAACUAGGGCAUUGCUGUAGUGUUCCUUCCAUGAGACAGCAAGGACUUGGGCCAGGACAUGUGUGUCAGUGCAUAUGGUGAGACAGGAUGAAAGCUUUUCAAGGAAGAAAAAUACCUGGCUUGAGCAUGCUGGGCUAGAGAUGAUGGUAGGACUUCUUGUCUAGCAGGAGUUUGAAGGUAUGAGGCUGGAGCUUAGGGGAGAGGGCAGCAGGGAGAAACAGACUGACACAGAAGGGAGAGCCAAUGGCAUAGAAGUUACAACUGAAACUGAGAAUGGAAGAGAUUUCAGAAAGAAAGAAUGUGAAGGGAAGGACAGAGAAAUGUGAGUUGGGAAGCACCCACAUUUAGGACAUAGGAUGAGUAAGAUGAGCAAGCGCAAGAGGGAACACCCGGUCUGGAGUGUGAGACUCAGAGUGUGGCCAGAGAACCAAGGGAGCAGAGUGCUAAGGAGGAGGAUGUCACCACUAGGGCAGGAAGAAGCUGGAUGAUCCAGAAGGUGAGGUCCUUUAGGAGAAGAGUUUCAAUGGCAAUCUGGGACUGGAAACGGGAUCACAUGGAUGAAGGAGGAGCAGCAAGGCGAUGGGCCAGUGGUCACAUCAAAUAGUGAAGCAGUUAUGAUGACAGGCUCUGAUGGUCACAGUACCUGAAUCCUGGUUCCACCCAAACUGUACAACUUAACGAGUAGAAGUGUAUCUAAGUCCCAGUGCACUGGGUUGAAUAUGGUCCCCCAAAUUCAUGUCCUUCCCAGAUCAGAAUGUGACCUUCUUUCGCAGUAGGGUCAUUACAGACAUAACUAGUUAAAAUGAGGUUAUAAUGGAGAAGGGUGGCUCCAUAAUCCAAUAUGACUGGUGUCCUUAUAAGAAGAGGAGAGAGACACAGAGAGAGACAUGCACAGGGAAGACACCCAGCGUGAUGACAGAGGUAGAGACUGAGGUUAUGCAGUUGCAAGCCAAGGAACGCUAAGGACUGCCGGCAACACCAGAAACUAAGAAAAAGGCACAGAACAGAGUCUCCCUUGAGGCUUCAGAAGGGGCUUGCCAACACCUUGAUUUUGGACUACCAGCCUCUAGGUCUAUGAGAAAAUAAAUUUCUGCUAUUGUAAGCCACCAGUUUAUAGUAUUUUAUUAUGGCAGCAUCAGGAAACUAAUAUACUCAUCCUUAAAGUGAGGAGAAUAACACUUUGCUCAUAGGGAGGAUUAAUAUAACAUGAAAAAUGCUUAACACAGUGUCUGCCCCAUAGAAAGAACUCAGUUAAAGCCAGGUGCGGUGGCUCACACCUGUAAUCCCAACCACUAGGAAGGCUGAGGCAGGAAGAUUGCUUGAGGCCAGGAGUUCGAGACCAGCCUGGGCAACAGAGCGGGACCCCAUCGCUAGGGGAAAAAAACGGAACUCAGUUAAAUGUUGGCAAUAUACUGUGUUAUUCUUUGAAGAAUUUUUAUUGUAAGGGAAAGGAAAAAGUGAUCUUAGAUGAGUCAGGUAAACAAUAAAGUGAAUGUUGUUUUCAAUUUUGUUUCUCUUUUAAUAGGAGUUAUUUGUGUAUAUUUAAACACAGAAAAUAAAUAAGAUCUCCAAGGAGAGGAAAAUAGCUAAAGAAUUGGGAGAUGAUAUGAUAUCUUCAUCGAAGACCAAAUCUGGUGCAAAUGAAAGAUUUCAAGAGAUGUGACUGUAAAGUAAAAUAUUUUUAGUUAUGUAGUAUUUUACUUUAUAGUCACAUUUGUAUCAUUUAUAAUUCCCAGUUGAUAUUACCCUUCAGAGAAGACACUCUGGAAGGUAUGACUCUUAUUCUAAUGUUGUUACCAUUAGCUCAAAUACUUUUGAAUUUUCUUCAAAACCAGGUUAUGAAUUACUCAGACAAAAGUUUUACCUCUUAAGAUACACCUCAGUUUUGAUCAAAAUAAAUAUUUCCCAGGCUGGUCACUUAACUGACACAACACCAAACAACUUCUGACUAUAUCCAAACACCAAAUCUACCCUCACAUUAUACACAUUAGCACCAUUGAGGGCUUUUUUAAAAAUGGGCCAAAUAUUUAUCAAAGCUGUUUUUAAAUACCUAAAUAUGAAAAACAAAAUUCUGAUUUUAAAUGGAAAAUCAACCUUGUUGGCUUAAAUUCCCAAUGACUUCAAACCAGGCAAGCUUUUCAAUAUAAGUUUUUUGAAGUUAUGUAUUAUACAUAAAUCUUUUCACAGUCAUUAAUAGCCCUAACAGGCUACUGUGACUGGAUCAAAAAUAAAACUUCCAAGGGGUGUAUUUCUAUUUCAAGGGGUGGAUGUCUACUCAGUAAUUUCAAAGUAAGUGAUCAAUUUAAACCCAUAGAUUUAUUAUUUUCAUUCUCAUGUCUUAGACCUCAGUAUAUAUGAGAAGGAAAUGGCCUUGCUUUUCAAAGGUUUACAAAGAAUAGAAAGGAAUAAACAAUAAUUUGAAAAUGCUUAAUUAUCUAUUCACACCAUGUUCAAACUUUCAGAAGGGAAGGAAGGUGGGCAAAGGGCAAAAGGGCCUUUUUGUCUUCUCUUUAAGUAACUUUUCCAGAGGUUCCAGAGAAAGAGAGAAGAAGGUCAUUAACAAAGUCACAAUGAGAUCUUUCAUUUUUUUUUUUUAAACUUUGGUAAGAACCUAAGACCUGCCCUCUUAGCAAUGAGAUCCUUUAAAUGGGCCUCUCCUUACACAUGGACCAGGAAUUUGUCAGGGCCUAAUCUUCACCUUGGAGUCAAUUAAAUUCUUUAUUCAUCCUUCUACUGUACUUCACGCAUUGUGUUUUUACAAUAAAAUACUAAACUGCACUUUGGAAGUUGAAAAUCCAGGAUGAAUAUAAGAAAGUUGAAACUAAAGGGGAAGAUCCCUUGGCAGCCAGACUCAGAAGCAAGCAGCCCUCUUUGGUUGCAGGGAGGAAGUCACAUUUUGUGGUGCAACUUGUUGGCUUACGUGCAACCCUUGGCCUAAUUUUGAAAGAUGACAUCUAGUCAGCCAUUGCCUAACUCAGUGUCUUACUCAAGAGAUGUUUGUUAAUUUGAUUUUUACAACUGUCUUAAAUUCCUUUGGUCAUCUGGAAAGAUGAAGAAACUAAAAUAGUUGACAGGCUGCUCUAGCUGAUACAAGCAUUUUUCAAACUGAAAAUUAGGUGACAUGACCAUGGCUAUGAGGAAGGCCAUUCAUCUUAUUCUAUUUGUAUAAUUCCCUAAGCAUUUGUGCAAUAUAUAUAUCA